GUCUAUGGCCAUACCACCCUCAAUGUGCCUGAUCUUGUCUGAUCUCAGAAGCUAACCAGGGUCGGGCCUGGUUAGUAACUGGAUGGCGUACUUU
This 94-nucleotide ribosomal RNA is filed under the name Dasypus novemcinctus (nine-banded armadillo). Lineage: Eukaryota; Metazoa; Chordata; Mammalia; Cingulata; Dasypodidae. The record is from RNAcentral.